GACAACAUCUGGUUUUGGUAGGAGUAGAUGCAAGGUGUCCCUUGAACUUAUGGCAAUCUGGCAUUCAGGUCACUGUUCCUGUGCACUGAGUUCCUGACUCAUCGAAGAGCUGUAGUCUACAGCAACUAUUAAGCAGAUGGACAGUCCAACAGCAGCAAGGUGAAACUAGCUGAGAUUCGCUGCAGUACUUUGUAAGUGGAGCUGCCUGUUAAGAGCUGGUGUUCUCUCAAAAGAAAAGCUUUGGUAAAUGAGGACAAGGCUUUAUGAACGGCAGCCAUCAGCAUUGCCUAUCAAGUUUCAAGACAGCUGUGGACCAAUGCAAGGACGUGACUUCCCACUAUUGUAUCUGAAAAAAGCUACAUGCACUGCAGGGUCACAUAAGUGGGAGGUACUAAAGAUGUAUUGAAAAGGAAGUCUCAGGAAGUUAACAAAACUAUUGGCUUUUGUCACAACAGAAGAUUUGUGCUGAAUAGGCUUCAGUAGUUCAGCAGACAUUACAUGAAAGUGAUUUUCCCUGCUUGCUGUGCAAGAGACAUGA
This is a long non-coding RNA of Struthio camelus australis, 538 nucleotides long. RefSeq lists it as uncharacterized. Lineage: Eukaryota; Metazoa; Chordata; Aves; Struthioniformes; Struthionidae. The record is from RefSeq and is a predicted model, not a curated record.